This 301-nucleotide ribosomal RNA is filed under the name uncultured bacterium. RNAcentral describes it as "partial 16S ribosomal RNA". It matches the Rfam family "Bacterial small subunit ribosomal RNA", at positions 509 to 807 of the family's 1533-position model. The record is from RNAcentral.
CAGCCGCCGCGGUAAUACGGAGGGAGCUAGCGUUGUUCAGAAUUACUGGGCGUAAAGCGCACGUAGGCGGUUAUUCAAGUCGGAGGUGAAAGCCCGGGGCUCAACCCCGGAACUGCCUUUGAAACUAGAUGACUGGAAUCUUGGAGAGGUCAGUGGAAUUCCGAGUGUAGAGGUGAAAUUCGUAGAUAUUCGGAAGAACACCAGUGGCGAAGGCGACUGACUGGACAAGUAUUGACGCUGAGGUGCGAAAGCGUGGGGAGCAAACAGGAUUAGAUACCCCGGUAGUCCCUGUCUCUUAUAC